This is a long non-coding RNA of Zea mays, 3342 nucleotides long. RefSeq lists it as uncharacterized. The record is from RefSeq and is a predicted model, not a curated record. Lineage: Eukaryota; Viridiplantae; Streptophyta; Magnoliopsida; Poales; Poaceae. The transcript has 3 exons.
UUUGGGAGGCAUAGGAAAAGAAAGAAAUGGGAGGCUGUGUUGGAUGAAAUGCUUGAUUUAGAAUUUAUACCAAAUAUUGCCUCUUAUAAUAGGCUACUUGGUGGCUUGCCGCUUGCAUAAGUGAAGAUCUUUGUGGUUACAAUUACAAGAGAGCUUCUCGGGGCAUGCGAAAGCACCAGUCUGAAAGUAUUUUGCUAGGUGGCGCUACAUGGAGAUGCCUGAUACCAGUGUACGUAGCUGCACAGAUAUAAGAUGGAAAGUGUGAAAUGAGGUAUUGUUUUGAUCAUGCACUCCUAUUGCAUACAACAUUAUUUUAUUGUAUUCUGUGCAUUAUUUUGGUCUUGUUGGAUUCACCAUAUAUGCAAAAAUUUAUCAUUGCAAUUUCGAAGCUUCCAACAUGGCAUUUCCGUUAGUCUUGAGACUAAUUUGGGGAGAAAAUGUUUAAUUGCCAUGGAUGAAUUUUGAAGGCUUGUUUGUUUGGAAGCAAGGUUUAUGAUCAGAUUUUUGUAUACCAGAGAACACUCAAGUCUCCCAACUGCCCGCCUGCCGAGGUGAGCUCCGAAUGCCUGCCCUCCGCCUCUGAUCCGUGUUGCGGCUUCGCUCCUGCGCAUGCGCGUUUUGGCACUCGGUUUCCGACCAGGGAUUCAUCACUGCGCCUUCGUUUGUGUCGGGGUUGUGCCGUAGCGAUGGGUCUCUGGUGGCGAACUACAGCUCCGCGCUGCGUGGCUCUGGUUCUGGUCUCAGGGAGUUACUUGGGAGGGGUUGGUCUUCACCAGUUUUCUUUAAUCUCUUGUUUCAGUUAUAGGUGUACACAUCAACUGAUUUUUCAUUUGCUUCUGUUACUAAACUUAUUUCACAAUCAGCCUUGUAGCACCUUGAGAUUCUGUUGUUUAUUUUUUGUAUUAGAUAUUCUUCUGAGUACUGGAAUAAGGUCAAUUUAUCAUUUUUGGCAGCAAGUUGGUUUUUAUACUUGGAUCCAGCCUAUAUUCUUGGCCUAUUUUGCUCUUUUUUUCUCUACCUUAAUAAUACAACGGAGUACAGCCUCUAUACUUGGAUCCAGCCUCUAUUCUCCUGCAUGAUUCGAGAAGGAGCAGGAGCAUGACCCAAAACUGUAUUUUAGUCUUUCACUGAUAUAUGCAUGAACUGAAUUCUAGAAUGCUAAGUGUAAGUUUUGAAUAAUUUUGUUUCCUUGUCAUCUGGAACCACAAUGCAUUGAACUUAAAGCACAGUAUAGAAAAGAAGGCACAAUAUGCCUUUGGAUUUUCUUCAUUCCAAUUGACACCAGAGAGUAGAAAGGAUGGAGCCCUAUGAUACACAGCUGGGGCUCAUGGCCUCUGGGCCUUUUCUAGGGUGUGUACAUGCCUUAUGGUUGUCUCCUUUAUCUUUGUAUCCAAUGUUCUAGAUGAUAGACUACCUGGAAUAAGGCAUACUACGUUAAACCGUAUGAAACCUGAUUUUUUUUGCAUGUUUAGUCUAAUGAACAGUCAUGUACCUGGUGUUAGAACUUCGCAAUACAAAUAAAAGAGGGGGGGCUCUUCAGUCAGGUCAACAGCUGGCAACACUUACCACAGCACAAAACUUUUGCCUGACUGUUUCUACAGAAAUAGGUUCUGUCAUACAAGCAACUUUGGUCUAAAAGUGGGCCAAUUUCCUGGUCCAUUUUCUACAAAGGAAAAUUAAACUCAUGAAGCUCCAGUAGAAAAUGACAUAAUGAAGCCAUAAACUUGGAGCUGCAAGAGCAUUCAGAUGACAGCUACAACUACAACUAAUUGCUUACAAUUCACGAUAGUACUAAUAUCGCUAACAUUUGAAACUUAACUAUCUUAGUUGUAAUCAUGUGCUUCAACUGUAGAGGGUUAAUCAAUUUAGUGGAAGUGGAUAUUGAAUAUGUUUAAGCAUAAGGUUGUGUGUUAGGUUCAGGUAAUUGUAUGUUUUCCAGUUCACUUUAGUAGGUGCAUGCUCACAGUUCCAGAAACAACAUGAGGUCUUAUGAAUAUUUCAUGUUUCUAUGUAUAAUGAAAAUAAUAAGCCUUCAUCCAUUCUUAUAUAUACUCUUUGAUCUUGUGGUGUUUGUGCAGGUCCAGAACAUCUGCACUAAAACACCUAAAAAGAAGUCCUACAAAGAUUUGGUUAGUUGCUUCAUGCUUUCUCUAUUCCUCUCUUAAUACUUAGCUCUAUUUGAUUGAUCUGUGCUAUACUGCUAUGUGCUAUUUUUUAUUUUUGUAUCUCAACUUAAUCUUUGAGAACUGCAUGUACCACUAUUUCUGUAUUUUUAUUAAUUUUGUUCAUACUGCUAUGUUCGAUCUGUGCUAUAGAGCUAUGGUAGGACAAGGGUCUCAUUCUAUUUGCUGAAACAUCCCAGCAACAAUUUCCAUGUCCAUAGUACAGUUAUUGAUUGGUGACUUAUGGCCACCAAAAUAUUCAUCCAUGUUAGUUGUAAUUGCACUCUUAGAUGUGCCUCCACUGCAUCCACUACUACUCUAUAUGAUAGUCUCAACUCUGACCCUCUUGACCCUCGACAUGAGUGUCUUGCUUAAAUGGUUUUUUUAGAUGCAACUGUGGUCCUCUUGUUACCUCUAGAAUGUGUAUUUGUACUGCUGUAGAAAAACACCUCAUCAGACUAUUUCCAAUGUUGGUGUAUAUUUACUUGAACCAGUGUUCUCUCAUGGUCAACUACAUCAUCUACCGUGCCUAUUUUUCUAGGACUCUUAAUGCCAUCAGGCUGGCAUUUUGUUCAACUCAUUAGCUGGUUACAGUAACAAGGAACCACCAUUUUGAUGCAAAGGAGCAGAUGCGACAGGAUCACAAGUAGAAGGAGCGGCGACGAUGCUGUAGCGAGAGACACGGGUGCCGAGGUUGUUGUGCUGCGGUGGUGGCAGGACAGAAAGGAAACGAAAAAGCAGGAGCCAGGGCUGUUCAACAACGUGACCGAGUCGCUGAGGCGAGGAAGAGUAAGGUGAAGGCACUCGUUGACGCCUUUGAGACUGACAGAGCGUCAUCUCGCUGCAGGAAACCAGCAAGCCUGCUGCUGCUCCAGCUAUGGAAGUAGGUGUCGUGCCAUGAGUGCUUCUUGACCUGCAGUGUGCAUGAUCACACCUUUCUUGGAAUUUUGGACUUUUUUUGGUUGUUAGUGACCAUAAAAGUGGUGCUUGUUGAGGUUUGCUCGUUCCCAUGUAAACUGAUUUUCUCAUAGGAGUUUCCAUACUUUUGUAGUGCUACGAAAAAAGGAAAGUCUGUACAGGUUUUGUGUCUAUGAAAGGCUUGAGAAGUUGGCAUUGUACUGAUAAGUGAUAAGUAAACAAGUUAUUGUAAUGAUUUAAACUAGAUUGUUUUGAAAGGAAA